CUGCAGUUACAAAGCUGGGUGCAAUUGGGUUUUUACAUUUUCCUUUUGACCUAUUCCUUUAUGAAUAUGGUUCAUCUGCUCGCAACUGUUAUAUCCAUGUGACUGUCUUUAGCACUCGAAUAUUUAUGCUUGCAAAAAUAUAUAUGUUAUUAUUGACUAUUUUACUGUUUAAAGUGGUGUAUAAAGUAUUGUCAUGUUUUAUAUUUUUCUCAAAUAAAUCCCCCUUCAAAAAUGUAAAUGAACAUCUUUUAUUUGAUAUUUCAGGAUUCCAAUAUUUGGGAUUAUGGAGUUUGGAGUGAUAUCUUCCAGGAUUAUGGCCCAAACUUGGUGUAAAGGGAUUGAGAGAGUAACAUCCCGGAAACUGCUAGGGGGCCCUGUCUGUCUUCCCUUGUCUUCCUGAGACAGAACAUGGUUCAGGCUCUUAACCGUUCAGUCUUCCAAAUCGACGUGGAUGCCCCAAGUUCUUCACCUUCUGGCUCCCAGGGAGUUUUAAUGGUGGUCCUUAAAGGAUGCGUGCAGGAAAGGAUUUCAGCUAAGCAUUCCAUUGAACCCCGACCUGCCUGGUAAAUGGGGCAAAUCAUCUGGGAAGGAGACCCAUCCUUCAAUUCCUGAACACAUAGCCAUUGCUACCUGGAAGAGAUGGCUCUGAGAAUUUUAAUUAGGCAUGAGGUAGAGCGAGAUCAAUAGCUUGUACCUUCUCUUGGAGGAUGAUGCUGGGGAAACAAGGCUCUGCAAUAACUGGUCAGUUUCCAGAGAAGUGCUCAGUGCCAUGAGGACAGAUGUGGAAGUGCUGAUGUGAUAUAGUUCGGUGGACAC
This 816-nucleotide long non-coding RNA is filed under the name Homo sapiens (human). Its description in RNAcentral is "non-protein coding lnc-EMX2-9:1". Lineage: Eukaryota; Metazoa; Chordata; Mammalia; Primates; Hominidae. The record is from RNAcentral.